AUCCUCGUACCACAUAUACACCGGUGUAACACCACCCCUCAACCACCGUAACGCCGCCAUUCACCACCCUAAAACUACCACCGGAAAUCGCCUCACGACAGCGGCCGGUCACCAAAUGACCCCAAGUUUACACCGUCGAACCCUAUCAGCCUCCCCUUUCCCCUCCUACCAUUAGAUCCCCUCAAAUAUCUCCCCAGAUCGUCGAAUAUUCAAAAGAGUAGUCACCGUCUUAGCCGCCUACGGAGGCACCAACCCCAAACUGGUCCAAAUUAACACCCCUAAACCGUCUCGUUCCCCUCUUCCCACCCCUCUGGAUCUCGUCCCUCGAAUCCUUACUGAUCUCUUCGAAUAUUGAAUUGAAGUUCGGACCCAAACCCUAACCUCUCUGUAAUUACUCAAAAAUGGUCCCAUGUGACCAUCUCACCUUCCCAUCCACAACCCCAUGACCAACGACCUUCGAAUACAACCAGAUGUUGCCAAAAAUCAGAUCUGAAACCCAGACCCCAUCUCAAAGUCAAUCAACCCUAGCCUGAUACCCUUUCCUCUCUCCAAUAAUGAUACGAAGGUCUCAAGAGACCGAAGACCUUCUCAGAAAGGGUCGAACACUUGGAGACCUGAAGAGCCCCAUAUUUAGGGUUGCAUUUAAGAAAGCUAAGUUUCUCUUAUUUUUCUUCUGAGUGUUUUUAAUUUCCUUUGUUCGUCUUUUAAUUGCUUUAAUUUCCUGUGUUCUUCCUUAUAAUUGCUUUUUAGUUCUCUUCUGAUUUCUUUUGUUCUUCCUUCCAUUUGCUUUCGAGUUUCUUUGAUUUUGUUUAUGUAAAGG
Molecule: long non-coding RNA, 820 nt
Filed under: Nicotiana benthamiana
Lineage: Eukaryota; Viridiplantae; Streptophyta; Magnoliopsida; Solanales; Solanaceae
Description: long non-coding RNA (NBEN_LNC020183)
Source: RNAcentral